GGGUGCGUCUCAAGAGCCAGGGAGCCACUAACCCGGUCCUCGGGGAAUGACUUCAUGACUAAAUUGGGAAUUGAUGAAAGCCAGCCGUGUUUCAGAUGCGCCUCGAACUGCCCGAGUUCCGUGGACUUCAUGUUUAUGUGAUUUCCACUAUCUAAAACGGUUAUAAAGUUGGGUGAAAUAUUUUUUUUUUUCAUCACGCCCUGCACUUUGACUUCCUCACACUUUCAAGUUCAUUUCUGGUCCCUCAGGUCCGUCUGGAAGUUCUAAGAAAGACCUUUUUAAAAGAUUUUUGCUCAGGGCUGCAAAGGAACGGUUUGUUUUCAUUCGUCAUAUACUGACACAGGCUCACCUCCAGGUCUCUGGGGAACCAUAUGAGGCAUUUUCCAGAGUUAUUUCCAGAAUAAACAAGGCUUGAAAGGCUGGCCUUGCUUAACCACUCUCCACAGCUCUGCUUCUCUACUCCAGGCGGGAGGGGCGACUCCUUGACCAUCUGUAAAUAUUUCAACGCAACCAAUUCUCUAAGGAAUGAGAAUUUUUUUGUUGUUUUUUUUUUUUUUUUAAGAUUUUAUUUAUUUAUUCGACAGACAGAGAUCACAAGCAGGCAGAGAGGCAGGCAGAGAGAGAGGAGGAAGCAGGC
This 637-nucleotide long non-coding RNA is filed under the name Mustela putorius furo (domestic ferret). Its description in RNAcentral is "lncRNA (ENSMPUG00000024793.1)". Lineage: Eukaryota; Metazoa; Chordata; Mammalia; Carnivora; Mustelidae. The record is from RNAcentral.